Molecule: ribosomal RNA, 427 nt
Filed under: uncultured bacterium
Lineage: Bacteria
Description: bacterial SSU rRNA
Rfam family: Bacterial small subunit ribosomal RNA
Source: RNAcentral
UCGAGAAUUUUUCACAAUGGGCGAAAGCCUGAUGGAGCGACGCCGCGUGGGGGAUGAAUGGCUUCGGCCCGUAAACCCCUGUCAUUUGCGAUCAACCGUUAUUAUUUAAAAGAUGAUAACCUGAUAGUAGCGAAAGAGGAAGGGACUGCUAACUCUGUGCCAGCAGCCGCGGUAAUACAGAGGUCCCAAGCGUUGUUCGGAUUUACUGGGCGUAAAGGGUGCGUAGGUGGCGGUGUAAGUCGGAUGUGAAAUCUCCGAGCUCGACUCGGAAACUGCAUUGGAAACUACAUUGCUCGAGGGUUGGAGGGGGGACUGGAAUACUUGGUGUAGCAGUGAAAUGCGUAGAUAUCAAGUGGAACACCAGUGGCGAAGGCGAGUCCCUGGACAACUCCUGACACUGAGGCACGAAAGCUAGGGGAGCAAACAG